This is an RNA transcript of Ornithodoros turicata, 2975 nucleotides long. RefSeq lists it as uncharacterized. NCBI's taxonomy places the organism in Eukaryota, Metazoa, Arthropoda, Arachnida, Ixodida, Argasidae. The transcript has 7 exons. The record is from RefSeq and is a predicted model, not a curated record.
GUUAGGGCAGGACGGUUUUUCGGCACCAGGAAGCCGAAGUGGGAGCUCGGCGGUACUGCUGAGGACUGUUGAUCGCUGUGGACUACAUUGUGGACUACAUGUGGAUUGUAUCGCUUGCUGGGCAAGUAAACUUGUUGUUCUGCUUCCCUGAUUCAUGCUUCUCUUCCUUCGAGUCAUUGGCAAAGGCUUGGGAAUCCAUACGUGGGAGGUUUUCCCAUAUCUGGCGCCCAACGUGGAAGGGGGGCGGGGUUGCACAUUUGCCAGUGCUGAAGGAAGGGAGGCGAUUUAUCCUUCGGUAUUUUUGAGUGACUUCCAGAGCCCAACCCCAACAUGGCUACGGCACGCGCAGCCAAACAGCAGCACCCGCCGUUCCAACGAAUCCGGUGGAGCCCUCGACCAAGCAGGCAACAACGAAGGACAGGACAACUCAAGCAGUUCCUCCUCAUUCCACCACUGCUACGGGGUUGCAGCCCGGAACUUCUACAACGCCGGAGCUGCUCACGAGCAUCGCCCAGUUGUGUUCCAUGAUGGCACAGCAGCUCGUCACCGGAUCCGUUUCACAACAGCCGAGGAAUCCCCUCCGAGUGAAUAUUCCAGUAUGGCAUUCUCCGGCUACACGGAUCCGAAGUCUCUUCACGACUUUUUUGAUGACCUUGACGACUACCAGGACGACUUCAAACGCACUGAGUUCCUGCCCCCGACUAUGAAUACAGGAUCAGGGAGGAAUUGGACAGGCGGACUCAACACCCAGAUGAAAGCCUGGUGGAGUUUAUCCGAGCCCUUCAGGAUCUGUUUCGGCGUGCGGACCCAACAGCUUCGCAGGCAAAGCAAGUGGCACGGGUCACUCGACAAUGCCAACCUCGCUUUCGACCGUUCCUGCGCGCCCGAACCUCCACAGACUUAGAAGUGAUGGCCAAAGAAGCCCGUACUAUUCAAGGGGACCUGCUGGCGGAACUCACAUACCAUCCUCCGCCGCCAGAGUGGCACGCUCUCGAACCCCGCUGCGCGUGGUCUUCGUGCCCCCCUCCGUAACUCAACAAGUCUGCGAUACCUUCGUGGUUCCCAGGCUAGGAACGGGACCGCUUUUCAGCCUGCCCGUCUCCGUCUACGUUCCGGCACACAGAUUUGAGCCAGCCUGCGGUACCUUCGUGGUCUGCAGAAUCCGGACGGAGCCAUUUUCUACCCGUCCUACCUCCGUCCCUACGAGCCCUGGACCCGUCCUUUGCUCCACCUGGAGUACGAGGGUCCCAUGACUGCACUCUUUUCGGUCAGGGCGCACACAGAAGAAACGGCAACCCCCUGUGGGCCGGCUGCCUCCACAAAACCGGGGCCCUCACGAGGCUUCCCCUCUUAGGGGUCGACGCCCUCAAGCGCUCGACGGUCCUCAAGAUUAUCGGACACAACAGCAGACAGGCUGGCCAUUUUCGCCAGGACUGCCCUCUGCGAGCACAAAGCUCACGUCCGCAAGCUGCUCCGGGAAACGGCUAUCACAGACGUCCUCUAGGAGCCCACCCGGUGACGGUGGCUGCCGCACAGAAAACCCAAAUUCUUGACACGCCGGCGUAUUGACGCCUUUCACUUGCGCCGUCCGGGACUCCUUCUCCGACAACGUACCUACGAUGGCAGGGCUACCCUUUCAUUGACAGGAGAUGCAGCGUACGAACUAUGCCAAGCCCGACAUGUGAGUACGGUACCCUGCGAUACCACAUUACGCAUGGCGUCAUGGCUGCGCUACGAUGGACCACAUCGCAGACAUCGCUCUGUCCACAUACCUGGCUUGGCAGUGCCUCUAAUCCUUGAAGGUGAAACUACGCCCAAGGUCGGUACCAUGACAGCUGUACGAGGGGGACUCUCUACUUGCUUGAACAAAUUCGCCGGUACACAACCAGACCGCUCUCAGCUGUAAAGAACCUUGCGUCCCUUCGAGAGCAUGUUCACAGAAAAUCCCGGUUAUACACCGGCGCCCCUGAACCUGGGUCGAGAGAUGCCUUUUCCUUUAGAGAACUCCUUGGCCUCCAGGACAGCUCGGUCGGCCGUCCCUGCUCCAGCUUCGCAGAGGGACUCCGAAACAGGCUCGACGACACCAUUAGGACAGCUCGGGAGAACCUCGAUGUAGCCCGACCUUCCCAGGCGCAGCAGUACAACCGCGGCCGAAGGAACCUGUCGUUCAGCGUGGGUGACCUUGUCCUCAAACGGACACAUCCACUCAGCGAUGCAGCACGAGGUUUCGCAGCUUCCCUUGCUCACAGAUGGGAGGGCCCCUUCGUGGUAACUGCGUGCGGAUCAAGAAUCACCUACAGGCUACGUAGCUGUGCCGACGGAGCGGAGACAGGACCAAUACACGUCUCAGACCUGAAGCUGUUUUAUCUAAGGCACGAGAGCGACGAACCUGUCGAGGACCCUUCACCAUCGGCCCCGCACGUACGAGUUCCGGACAACGGGUCAACACAAAGCCGAUACUGGCUAAGACCUCGGGCACAAGUAUCCUAUUACCUCGUCAUUAGUGUCUAGUGCUCAGGGGUAAUCCUUACCAACGCGAAGGGGGUAGCAGCGGUUUUCCCGCCGGUGAAGUCCGGGAAGAGUGGCGGCGGCAAUAGUAAUUGCUUUAAGUAGCGGCAUGGCUCGACGAUCGGUCUGAAGUGACGAUCGGUCUGAAGUGUCAAGUGCAGCUUGCUGCACAGGAAGUUAGUUUAUGUUUGUGACGUGAACAAGUGUUGUAUGCCGCGGUGUGACGUCGAGGGACACGCCAGAAGACACCCCGCCGACAAGAAGACGUCGCAGGAGUCUUCGCAGAAUCUUCGGGCUUCCCCACCCCUAUAGCUAAGUGAUUUUGACGAGACUGACGUAAACAAUUGUUUAGCUAGGUAGCCUGUGUUGCGAUUUUGGUCGUAAGGAGCAGAGAUCACUUUUCUACAAUUUGUAGGGUUCGCUGUGUGACGAUUUUUGGUUUAAAGCGACCAUAAAAUGAUUUUUGC